This 144-nucleotide ribosomal RNA is filed under the name Bacillus sp. 7/4. RNAcentral's name for it is "partial 16S ribosomal RNA". It matches the Rfam family "Bacterial small subunit ribosomal RNA", at positions 1402 to 1533 of the family's 1533-position model. Lineage: Bacteria; Bacillati; Bacillota; Bacilli; Caryophanales; Bacillaceae. The record is from RNAcentral.
CCMCGAAGAGUUUGYAACACCCGAAGUCGGUGAGGUAYCCUUUAUGGAGCCAGCCGCCGAAGGUGGGRCAGAUGAUUGGGGUGAAGUCGUAACAAGGUAGCCGUAUCGGAAGGUGCGGCUGGAUCACCUCCUUUCUAAGGAUAU